RNAcentral lists this unclassified non-coding RNA (806 nucleotides) under Hevea brasiliensis (rubber tree). The record is from RNAcentral. Lineage: Eukaryota; Viridiplantae; Streptophyta; Magnoliopsida; Malpighiales; Euphorbiaceae.
CUUUUUUUUUUCUCAUGCUGUCUAUAGAGAGGGAGAAGCUGAAAGUGUUCCAAAGAGAUCAUCAGAAGAAAAAUGGGGCAAAAGGCAGAGACUCCUGUGCCUAGAGUAGCUGUGGUAGUCUUCCUGUUGAAAGGGAAAUCGGUGCUGCUGGGGCGACGCCGCUCCUCCAUCGGUGACUCUACCUUUGCCCUUCCUGGCGGUCACCUAGAGUUUGGGGAGAGCUUUGAGGAAUGUGGGGCAAGAGAGAUGAAAGAGGAAACAGGUUUGGAUAUUUCCAAAAUAGAAUUUCUAACGGUCACCAACAACCCCUGCCUGGAGGAACCAAGGCCAUCACAUUAUGUUACCAUCUUUCUUCGUGCAAUCUUGGCCGACCCCAAUCAAGUGCCCCAAAAUCUUGAGCCUGAGAAGUGCUAUGGUUGGGAAUGGUAUGAUUGGGACAACCUCCCAAAACCAUUGUUUGGACCAUUGGAAAAAAUGGCACGGAGCGGCUUCUUUCCUUUCCCAACUGACUAUAAUAUUUGAUGAGGGGAUGAAUGGUGUUACCAGCUUAUGGCUAUCAUCACAUUGAUACCAAGGGUAUAAAAUUCAGGACUUUUGGUAUCUGUAUUGGAUUUGGAAGAUUUUCUUGAAUGCUAUUGCUGAAUCUUUUUGUUAAAUUAUAUGAAGGAGCAGCAAAGUUUAAGUUUGUUAUUCAUAUGGUCUUAGAAUUUCUCCAUGCUCCAUAGCCUGAUAUUCUAGUUUAGAGUAUGAAACCAGGAGCUGUCCACAACUCCUUUCAAAUUGUAAUAGGACACGAGCCAUUAAUA